This is a long non-coding RNA of Mus musculus (house mouse), 1146 nucleotides long. RefSeq annotates it as predicted gene, 32423. NCBI's taxonomy places the organism in Eukaryota, Metazoa, Chordata, Mammalia, Rodentia, Muridae. The transcript is spliced from 3 exons. The record is from RefSeq and is a predicted model, not a curated record.
CUUUGAAGAUUUGACUUCCAUUUGGAGUGGCAGUGGGCAUGUGCUGGCUGUUCUGUGGCUCUUCAGAGCCUUCAGAAGUGUUGGAGGGUUGCUACUGUGACCCAUUUGUGGAUGCAUCUUCAGCCCCGUUAUGUUUACUCUGUACUGCCGUAGGUGUUUCGCUUUGACUUCCUGUCUUCAUUUCCACUAUGGUAAAUAAUGACCUGGCAGCAAUGUGAGCCUUCACAGUGUCUUAACCAUCAAUCACUUCUGGCAAGGUAAAUUCUGCAUGCCUUAUAUACUAGUUACACUGAACAUUUAUUUUUGUAUUUGUCUAGAAUUAAAUUUUACCCCAACCCUUCUAGAAUGUUUCUCAGUUCGGCAUUUUGUACCUGGGAUUUCUUUCUGUCAUUUGAAAUGUGAAUACUUAUUUAUCAAAAAUCAUUGAAAAACAACUUUCUUAGUGUGUUCUGUUCCUUGCCAUCCCUAGUGUAUCAAUUUGUAUCUGAAGUUAGUUCUUAUGCUAUAUCUUUUUUGCUGGGCUUGAUAACUUUGAGACAAUGUUUACUAGAAUAAUAUGGAAUAUAAUGAAUUGAGGUUUUGUUUUUUAUGUAGAAAACGAAAAACAUAAAGAAUGGGUAAAAGAAAAGAAUUAAAAUUAUAUAUCAGUAUUUUUUAUUUGCUACAUUAAUAAUAUAUCAGCAGUUGCUCUCUGUAAAAGGGAACUGUGUAACAUAAUUGGUAUGUUAAAAUGUGUCAUGACAGUGACAUUUUUAACUGUCUAUAUGCACUCUCUAACAUUGUGUUAAGCAUCUCAAAUAGAUGAAGUAAAACUUACUCUGAACUUCCUCCAAAUUAAAAUUCUAUAAGGGAGUACAAUAACAUUUGUAAACACAGUAAUAAGCCAUUCAGUAAAUAUUUUGCUAAUCAGAAGUUAAUAAAAUCUAUGAUCAUAAAGAUUAGCUACAUAUAUUUUAUGAGGAACUUUAUUGUUGACCUUCAUUUUCAUUAUGAUGCAGACACAGAUAAGUAAAAAGGCACAGGCCACAUUAAAUUCUAUCCAGCAAAUGUUAAUUCCACCACCUGCUUUCUUUCAAAUUCAAGACAUGCACUUUUCCCCUAAUAGCAGAAAAGUACAAAUACUCAUUUUGGUUCCUCAGUGUACUC